Molecule: ribosomal RNA, 1293 nt
Filed under: Triticum aestivum (bread wheat)
Lineage: Eukaryota; Viridiplantae; Streptophyta; Magnoliopsida; Poales; Poaceae
Description: partial small subunit ribosomal RNA
Source: RNAcentral
AUGCCAACAACCACGCCGCCGCCAGCGGCACCAUCCCUGCCCGGCGAGCUUCUCGAGGAGAUCUUCCUCCGCUUCCCACCGGAUGAGCCCUCAUUCCUCAUGCGCGCCUCACUCGCAAGUAAGCUCUGGUUCGUCCUCCUCACUGGCCCUAACUUCCAGAGUCGCUACCGCGAGUUCCAUGGAUCUCCCCCCAUGUUGGGCUUCUUUUGCAAUCAGAUCGAUGGCUCCGACUUGGAGGAGGAGGAAAAACCAGUCUCACACUUCGUCCCCACCACAAAAUUCGGCUCUUGCAUAUCCAAGGAGGACUGGAUCGAGACAGACUAUGAUGUAUGGGAUUGCCGACAUGGUCAUGUUCUCUUUGGGCAAAAGGGACGGAGAUCCACGGAGUUCAUCGUUCGAAACCCGAUGACGGCCUGCUGGACGGAGGUGCACACACCUAAAAGAUACAUGGGGGGCGACAACCGUGGAGCCGCAGUGUUUUGUGCUAUGACCGGAUGUGACCACCGCCCGUGUCAUGAGGGCCCGUUCCGGAUGGCCUUUGUCUGCUUGUAUCUGGGAGUGGGCGAGGAGGAUGAUGAUUCUAUUGUAUACGCGGGUGUGUCCUUGCCACAGAUGUGCAAUUGGAGCAAUUCGUGCUCCAAAUUUCUGAGCAAGCCAUGCUCUGAACCAUGGAGCAAGCGGUGGAGCAAUUCCUCUGGUCUUCAUGUUCCAUCUGGGGCAUGGAUCGAUUCAGUCCCCCCAGUCCUCAUCGAAGACUCACUCUACUUCAUGAUUUCAUAUUAUGAUGGUGCUUGCAUAGAAGUUCUGAAGUAUGACUUGAGCUCUAAUUGCUUAUCACUGAUUGAUGGGCUGCCGGUGGAGGAUGUCUUUGCCGAUGCCACUAGACUCAUCGCCAUGGAGGACACCAAUUUGGGUCUUGCACAUGUGGAUAGGUUAACCCUCUACCUAUGGUCAAGACAAAUGGGUUACAAUGGAGUACCGUCAUGGACUCAACGAAUAGUCAUCGAUCUCAAUAACCUUCUUCCCGUUCGCAAUCCCAAUAGAAGGCUUAAACUAAUUGGAUCUGUGGAGGGCAGUGAUAUCAUUUUUGUGACCAUAGACUUUGGCAUCUAUGAGAUUAAUCUCAAGUCACUAAGGUGGAAGACAAUAACGAAGACUGAAAGUUUAUGUGCUUUGAUUCCAUACAUGAGUUUCUACAUUCCAAAAGAAAUGGAGGAAAGGCCAGCCACUCAGAUGCGUCUCACAGAUGAUGUAGGGUUGAAUAUGGGGCUGCCACUUGGGAGGUGGAGGUGA